This 70-nucleotide non-coding RNA is filed under the name Xenorhabdus szentirmaii DSM 16338. The record is from RNAcentral. Lineage: Bacteria; Pseudomonadati; Pseudomonadota; Gammaproteobacteria; Enterobacterales; Morganellaceae.
AAAGGCACGACAUUGCUCACAUUGCUUCCAGUAUAUUUUUAUUAGCCGGCUCGGGUGCCGGCUAUUUUUU